AGCUUGCUCUCGGGUGACGAGUGGCGGACGGGUGAGUAAUGUCUGGGAAACUGCCUGAUGGAGGGGGAUAACUACUGGAAACGGUAGCUAAUACCGCAUAACGUCGCAAGACCAAAGAGGGGGACCUUCGGGCCUCUUGCCAUCAGAUGUGCCCAGAUGGGAUUAGCUAGUAGGUGGGGUAACGGCUCACCUAGGCGACGAUCCCUAGCUGGUCUGAGAGGAUGACCAGCCACACUGGAACUGAGACACGGUCCAGACUCCUACGGGAGGCAGCAGUGGGGAAUAUUGCACAAUGGGCGCAAGCCUGAUGCAGCCAUGCCGCGUGUGUGAAGAAGGCCUUCGGGUUGUAAAGCACUUUCAGCGGGGAGGAAGGGAGUAAGGUUAAUAACCUUGCUCAUUGACGUUACCCGCAGAAGAAGCACCGGCUAACUCCGUGCCAGCAGCCGCGGUAAUACGGAGGGUGCAAGCGUUAAUCGGAAUUACUGGGCGUAAAGCGCACGCAGGCGGUCUGUCAAGUCGGAUGUGAAAUCCCCGGGCUCACCCUGGGAACUGCAUCCGAAACUGGCAGGCUUGAGUCUCGUAGAGGGAGGUAGAAUUCCCGGUGUAGC
This 608-nucleotide ribosomal RNA is filed under the name Klebsiella sp. 120(2010). Its description in RNAcentral is "bacterial SSU rRNA". It matches the Rfam family "Bacterial small subunit ribosomal RNA", at positions 77 to 679 of the family's 1533-position model. Lineage: Bacteria; Pseudomonadati; Pseudomonadota; Gammaproteobacteria; Enterobacterales; Enterobacteriaceae. The record is from RNAcentral.